Molecule: transfer RNA, 74 nt
Filed under: Acidobacteriota bacterium
Lineage: Bacteria; Pseudomonadati; Acidobacteriota
Description: Acidobacteria bacterium tRNA-Pro
Rfam family: tRNA
About the family: Transfer RNA (tRNA) molecules are approximately 80 nucleotides in length. Their secondary structure includes four short double-helical elements and three loops (D, anti-codon, and T loops).
Source: RNAcentral
CGGGGUGUAGCGCAGUCCGGAAGCGCACCUGCUUUGGGAGCAGGGGGUCGGAGGUUCAAAUCCUCUCACCCCGA